GAUGAACGCUGGCGGCGUGCCUAAUACAUGCAAGUCGAGCGAACAGACGAGGAGCUUGCUCCUUAGACGUUAGCGGCGGACGGGUGAGUAACACGUGGGAAACCUACCUAUAAGACGGGGAAAACUUCGGGAAACCGGCGCUAAUACCGGAUAAUAUUUCGAACCGCAUGGUUAGAUAGUGAAAGAUGGCUUUGCUAUCACUUAUAGAUGGACCUGCGCCGUAUUAGUUAGAUGGUAAGGUAACGGCAUACCACGGCAACGAAACGUAGCGGGCCUGAGAGGGUGAGCGGCCAGCCUGGAACUGAGGCUCGGCCCAGACUCCUGGGGGAGGCAGCAGUAGGGAAUCCUCCGGGAUGGGCGAAAGGCGGACGGAGCAACACCGCGUGAAUGCUGAUGGUGCUCGGCUGGGUAGAGUCAGUUAGUAGGCAGAUUCUAAACUGUAGGUGACUAUGCACGUCUUGACGGUACUUAAUAAGAAAGCCACGGCUAACUACGUG
This 497-nucleotide ribosomal RNA is filed under the name uncultured bacterium. Its description in RNAcentral is "partial 16S ribosomal RNA". It matches the Rfam family "Bacterial small subunit ribosomal RNA", at positions 28 to 507 of the family's 1533-position model. The record is from RNAcentral.